UCGCUCUCAUUUUGGACACGGCCGCA
Molecule: small RNA, 26 nt
Filed under: Bombyx mori (domestic silkworm)
Lineage: Eukaryota; Metazoa; Arthropoda; Insecta; Lepidoptera; Bombycidae
Description: ovarian small RNA-28835
Source: RNAcentral